RNAcentral lists this ribosomal RNA (405 nucleotides) under uncultured bacterium. Its description in RNAcentral is "partial 16S ribosomal RNA". It matches the Rfam family "Bacterial small subunit ribosomal RNA", at positions 30 to 526 of the family's 1533-position model. The record is from RNAcentral.
AUUGAACGCUGGCGGCAGGCUUAACACAUGCAAGUCGCACGAGUGGCGGACGGGUUAGUAAUGCUUGGGAAUCUCGCUUAUGGAGGGGGAUCACUCCGGGAACCUGUAGCUAAUACCGCGUACCAUAGGAUGAGCCCAAGUGGGCUUAGGUAGUUGGUGAGGUGAAGGCUGACCAACCCGACGAUCUCUAGCUGGUCUGAGAGGAUGACAAGCCACACUGGGACUGAGACACGGCCCAGACUCCUACGGGAGGCAGCAGUGGGGAAUUAUGGACAAUGGGGGAAGCCUGAACCAGGCAUCCCGCGUGUGAGAGUAAGGCCUUCGGGUUGUAAGGCACGUUUGGCAGGAAAGCGGUACCGGAAUAGAAAGCCACGGCUAACUACGUGCCAGCCGCCGCGGUAAUUC